This 76-nucleotide transfer RNA is filed under the name Acidiphilium sp. Its description in RNAcentral is "tRNA-Lys". It matches the Rfam family "tRNA". From Rfam's summary of the family: Transfer RNA (tRNA) molecules are approximately 80 nucleotides in length. Their secondary structure includes four short double-helical elements and three loops (D, anti-codon, and T loops). Lineage: Bacteria; Pseudomonadati; Pseudomonadota; Alphaproteobacteria; Acetobacterales; Acidocellaceae. RNAcentral also lists the same sequence under 7 other names. The record is from RNAcentral.
GAGCCCGUAGCUCAGUUGGUAGAGCACGAGACUUUUAAUCUUGGGGUCCAGGGUUCGAAUCCCUGCGGGCUCACCA